Molecule: ribosomal RNA, 505 nt
Filed under: uncultured bacterium
Lineage: Bacteria
Description: bacterial SSU rRNA
Rfam family: Bacterial small subunit ribosomal RNA
Source: RNAcentral
CACGAGUUUGAUCCUGGCUCAGGAUGAACGCUAGCGGCAGGCUUAAUACAUGCAAGUCGAGGGGCAGCACGGGUAGCAAUACCUGGUGGCGACCGGCAAACGGGUGCGGAACACGUACGCAACCUUCCUUUGAGCGGGGAAUAGCCCAGAGAAAUUUGGAUUAAUACCCCAUAGUAUAAUGAAGUGGCAUCACUUUAUUAUUAAAGAUUUAUCACUCGAAGAUGGCUGUGCGGCUGGUUAGGUAGUUGGCGGGGUAAAGGCCCACCAAGCCUGCGAUCAGUAACUGGUGUGAGAGCACGACCAGUCACACGGGCACUGAGACACGGGCCCGACUCCUACGGGAGGCAGCAGUAAGGAAUAUUGGUCAAUGGAGGCAACUCUGAACCAGCCAUGCCGCGUGGAGGAUGAAGGUCCUCUGGAUUGUAAACUUCUUUUAUAUGGGACGAAAAAGGCUUUUCUAAGUCGUCUGACGGUACCAUAUGAAUAAGCACCGGCUAACUCCGUG